RNA transcript from Seriola dumerili (greater amberjack), 2998 nucleotides. RefSeq lists it as uncharacterized. NCBI's taxonomy places the organism in Eukaryota, Metazoa, Chordata, Actinopteri, Carangiformes, Carangidae. The transcript has 6 exons. The record is from RefSeq and is a predicted model, not a curated record.
UCUGUCCUUGUCUACUACUGAAACUUAUCAAAUCCUACUUUUAGUGUUUCACUGUCCAGGUACUCCGGUUUCAGAGCAACACUAGCUUAAAAUAACAUUUUAUUUCGCGAUGCACGUGAAGAAAGGGUCGUUUGAGCAACCACAGUAGAAAGAGUGCAACCUUCACAAACUGUACGAGGCUGAACAAUGAAUCCACUUGACUGGGAAGAUGCUUUUCGAAGAUUGCAAAGACAUCUGGGUCCAAAUAACAGUGGUGCUAAUAACAGCAUGGAAAAUGCUUUAAGAACUAAUAUUGAUUAUGACACUUACUGCGAAUACUCAAGACACACUGUUGAUGAACCACAAAACAGCAUGGGAGUGAAUUUGGGAUGGGAGGAACUCAGUUCCUCCACCCUUAACUUUUAUAGUAAGGAGCCAGAAGUGGAGGAUCCAGAUGGAGAGCCUCUGGAAAUAGACGAGGAGGAUUCAGAGCUGGCGAGAAAGCGGAAAGAGCUUAGAGAGAUAGAAGAGCGAAUAAUACUUAAGAAAGCUGCCAUCGCUUUGAAAACAGUUGAACCUUUGGUGAAGAAGACAACACCACCAGGCCUUUCCUGUCAUGAACAGUCAGCUAAAUGCAAAGGUGAAACUCUUCGAGACAGAGUGAAUCUAAUUUUGCAGCAACGACAUUCUCUUAACUUUCUCUCAAAGGUCCCGUCACCCAAAAAGAGAAUGAACUCAUCCAGCCUGCUUGAAGAGCAUCCCCUGAAACUGAGAGUGAAGGCACUAAUGAAGCAGAGAUGUUGGGACCUCUGUGUACUACCAACAAACACAGAGGUCCCUGAUGUCACACUGCCUCCUCCCAGCCAAAGCAUUACUUCAGCAGCCAUUCAGGAGAACGAUGACAACAAGGGUUUCCAGCGCUUCCUCAGUGUGCUCAACAAAGGAGUGGAUAUCGACUUGCUCAGCAGGAUUGUCAAUGACGACAGUGAGGAUCUUGCUUUGGGCGAGGAGCUCCUGGACAUUCAGCCCCCUCUUGUGGAGAACAAGUCAGAGCCGGGCGGGAGCCAGCAAUCAAACAGUGAAGCCUCCAUGCCGGGCCACAGUCGGACCGAUGGUGGAGAGAGGAACACUGACCCGCCCAGUCGAGAGAGAUCCCAGAAUGAGAGACUCUCCCUGCCUGGUGGUGAGGACUUGAAUGGCAGAAGAGACAGCUCUUUUGGUUCCAGUAUUCGAUCAAAGUCUCCCCUGGCAGUGAAGAAGAGAGAGGAAGAACAACCAAAGGUGGAUGAGCAGCAUGAACACCUGCAGAACAUUCUUAAAACUCUGGGAUUGAGCCUGGAAGUGGAAGAGAUGAGCAGACUAGCAGACCGGACUCAGGAGAGGCUGUAUGGAAAGAAACAUGAAGGCAGAUGUGGGGCUGACAGCAGAGGGGAGCAGGAGAGUCUGCAAAGAGGCUCCCUCAGACAUCACUUGGACUCGUCCUCCUCAUCCUCCUCUUCCUCCUCCUCAAGGUCGACCUCUAGGAGCUUUAGUCCCAGCCCCUCUCACCAUUGCCACUCUCACAGCAGAGACUCAAAACAAAAGCGAUCGUCUGAAUGCAGAAGCAGAGAUGGACUAACAUGCCAAGAUGGCAACCAGGACAGCAAAGAAGCAAUGGAGCCCAGGGACAUAGACAAAGACAGAAAAGACUCCAAAGAAAUCUCUACUUAUCAUCAUCAUCCAUAUCCACAAGAACAAAGUUAUUCCCAAUCCCAUCCUGCUACUGCAUCUGCAUUUUCAGAUUACAGUAUGCCCCAGUAUUCCCAGUACACUGCCUACGACAGUGGCACUUACAGUGCUGCUCCAAAUUCUUACUCAACAUAUACUCAGGGUGCCAUUCCUCCCUCUCUUGAUUCCAGUGAGUAUCCUUAUCCACAGAACACCGACUUUCAGUUUCCUGGCUCUAUAGUGGCAUCUCACAUGGUUUACCCUCAUCAUGAUUCCUUUGAGGACAUGAACUUACUUGUGAAUCCAGACCUGUCUAAGAGUGAGGGCCAGAUCGGAUCAGCUGGCCAUCGCUGCCUGCGGGUCAUCAGCACAAAGCCGUCAACCAAUAAGCGCUGUCUAAAGCAAGUCUCAGAAGGUCGCAAACAGAAGGCGGCAUACAUAAGGAAAUGUCGUGCAUGGUUUUGUAAGUUAAGAGAGAGAAAGACUCAACUAAGAAAGCAAACAAGACAAGCAAAACAGAAUAAAGACUCUGUGGGGGAAGUAAAGGCUUCACAGGGUGAUGAGCAUCACUCAGAGGCCAGGCAGUCAGAAGAUGAAGAAAGACAGCCAACAGAGGAGGAAAUAAAGGUGAACCUGAGGAAAAAGAUUUUCUUUUUCUUUUCUAGCUUGAAGCAUUUAACCAGAAGGUGAAGCAACAAGUGACACAGCCAGUCACCUCCCUAACCUCUCAGACUGGUUAGAAUCUGUGGAGCGUCAUGAAUGUCGUAAAUCUGAAUCUGCUGUGAGCCCCGACAGACCAUGUGGACCUCAUGUUUAACACUCAUUAUUUACACAUGCAGCUCAUAGUGUGUAACAGGAACAUUUUUAGUUAAGUCACAUUUCCAGAUCUGUGCUGAAUCCUUUUUGAACAAGUAAAUGUUAUCUUCUUCAAGAAAAUAUUUUUGUGCAAUUAAUUACCGGUUGGUGAGAAAUGUUUUACUCAUUUCAGCUCUGUGAAAAUUACUACUUUGUAAGUAUGUUUCUAUUCAGCCUUAAAUUUGAUUAAGCAUAUUCUAUUUUGUAGGGUCUGUUGUAAUUCGUUGAUGAUAUAACAGUAUGUAUAUAUUUUUUUUUGUCAUAAAACAUUGAGCCUGUAAAAUGUAUUCAGCCUCUAAAUGCCUGUUCCCACACGUGUAUGCUGCUGACACAACACUGUUUUUAACUUAAUCUUUUUUUUUUGUUGAUAAUUUGAAUUUAAUUUUUGUCAUUUAUCAGUGUUGAUUUUGAAUAAUCCCAAUGACUUUUGUUGAUCCCUUUACACCAGCAAGUCUGA